Molecule: ribosomal RNA, 982 nt
Filed under: uncultured Clostridium sp.
Lineage: Bacteria; Bacillati; Bacillota; Clostridia; Eubacteriales; Clostridiaceae
Description: bacterial SSU rRNA
Rfam family: Bacterial small subunit ribosomal RNA
Source: RNAcentral
GUUUGAUCCUGGCUCAGGACGAACGCUGGCGGCGUGCCUAACACAUGCAAGUCGAGCGAAGAAGUCCCUUCGGGGAUGGAUUAGCGGCGGACGGGUGAGUAACACGUGGGUAACCUGCCUCAAAGAGGGGGAUAGCCUCCUGAAAGGGAGAUUAAUACCGCAUAAAAGGUAAAUACCGCAUGGUAAAUACCUUAAAGGAGAAAUCCGCUUUGAGAUGGGCCCGCGUCGCAUUAGCUAGUUGGAGGGAUAAAAGCCCCCCAAGGCGACGAUGCGUAGCCGACCUGAGAGGGUGAACGGCCACAUUGGAACUGAGAUACGGUCCAGACUCCCACGGGAGGCAGCAGUGGGGAAUAUUGCACAAUGGGGGAAACCCUGAUGCAGCAACGCCGCGUGAGUGAAGAAGGUUUUCGGAUCGUAAAGCUCUGUCAUCCGGGACGAUAAUGACGGUACCGGAAGGGGAAGCCACGGCUAACUACGUGCCAGCAGCCGCGGUAAUACGUAGGUGGCGAGCGUUGUCCGGAAUUACUGGGCGUAAAGGGUGUGCAGGCGGAUAUUUAAGUGAGAUGUGAAAGACCCGGGCUUAACCCGGGCAGUGCAUUUCAAACUGGAUAUCUAGAGUGCAGGAGAGGAGAACGGAAUUCCUAGUGUAGCGGUGAAAUGCGUAGAGAUUAGGAAGAACACCAGUGGCGAAGGCGGUUCUCUGGACUGUAACUGACGCUGAGGCACGAAAGCGUGGGUAGCAAACAGGAUUAGAUACCCUGGUAGUCCACGCCGUANACGAUGAGUACUANNGUGUAGGGGGGUAUCGACCCCCCCUGUGCCGCAGNUAACACAAUAAGUACUCCGCCUGGGAAGUACGAUCGCAAGAUUAAAACUCAAAGGAAUUGACGGGGACCCGCACAAGCAGCGGAGCAUGUGGUUUANUUCGAAGCAACGCGAAGAACCUUACCUGGACUUGACAUCCCCUGAAUAACUUGUAAUG